Lepus europaeus (European hare) is the source of this 284-nucleotide long non-coding RNA. RefSeq lists it as uncharacterized. Lineage: Eukaryota; Metazoa; Chordata; Mammalia; Lagomorpha; Leporidae. The record is from RefSeq and is a predicted model, not a curated record. The transcript is spliced from 2 exons.
CCGGUGUGGACCUGACUGCAUUGGGGAGCCCCCACCCCGCAAAACCUGGCUUCCGAGCUCUCUGCUGUGGCCUGGGAAAGCAGCAGAAGAUGGUCCAGGUCCUUGGGCCCCUGCACCCGCUUGGGAGACCCGGAAGAAGCUCCUGGCUCCUGGCAUUGACCUAGCCCAGCCCUGGCCGCUGUGGCCAACUGGGGAGUGAACCAGCGGAUGGAGGACCUCUCUCUCUCUCUCUCCCCCUCUCCAUCACUCUGGCUUUAAAAUUAAUAAAGAAAUCUGAAAAUCCA